CCAGAAGCUGGGCGUAUUACGGAAGGUGUGCAAGCGUGUACUCGGAAUUAUCUGGGCGUAAAGCUGCACGCGGGUACUUUUGUUAAGUCGGAUGGUAAAAGUGCCCGCGGGCUGCAACCGUGGGAUACGUGCAUGUGAUAACUGGCAGAGUCUGUAGUCUGAUAGCAAGAAAGAGGUAGAAUUCGCAUGUGGUAGGCGUUGAAAUGGCGUAGUGGAUCUGGAGGCGAACUACCUGGUUGGUUAAGGCUGACGCUCCUUGUACUGAGACUGUGUGCAGCUGUGAAAAGCGUGGGGAACCAACCAGAUUAGGAUACCCUGUUAUUCCAUGCGUUAAAGGAGAUGAUUAGAAGAUUGUGCCCUACGACCCGUGGCUUCCGAAGCUAACGCGUUAAGCUUCCGCCUGGGGAGUACGGAGCCCGCAAGGUUAAAACUCAAAUGAAUUGACGGGGGCCCGCACAAGCGGUGGAGCAUGUGGUUUAAUUCGAUGCAACGCGAAGAACCUUACCUGGUCUUGACAUCCUACGAAAUUUCCAGAGAUGGAUUUUGUCACUUCGGGAACAGUGAGACAGGUGCUGCAUGGGUUGUCGUCAGCUCGUGUUGUGAAAUGUUGGGUUAAGUCCCGCGAAAACGAGCGCAACCCUUAUCCUUUGUUGCCUCGGUCCGGCCGGCCUAACUCAAAGGAGACUCCCAGUGAUAAACUGGAGGAAGGUGGGGAUGACUCCAAGUCAUCAUCCCCCUUACGCCCAGGGCUACACACGUGUUCCAAUGGCGCAUACAAAGAGAACCGACCUCGCGAGAGCAAGCGGUCUUCAUAAACUGUUUUCUAGUCCGGAUUGGAGUUUGCAAUUGGACUCCAUGAAGUGGGAAUCGUUGGUAAUCGUGGAUCACAAUGCCCCGGUGAAUACGUUCCCGGCCUUUACCACACCCCCCGUCACACCAUGGGAGUGGGACCAAAAGAAGUAGGAGGUUACCCUUCGGGACUCCAGA
This 987-nucleotide ribosomal RNA is filed under the name Staphylococcus saprophyticus. Its description in RNAcentral is "bacterial SSU rRNA". It matches the Rfam family "Bacterial small subunit ribosomal RNA", at positions 508 to 1458 of the family's 1533-position model. Lineage: Bacteria; Bacillati; Bacillota; Bacilli; Caryophanales; Staphylococcaceae. The record is from RNAcentral.